AACGAACGCUGGCGGCAUGCCUAACACAUGCAAGUCGAACGAGACCUUCGGGUCUAGUGGCGCACGGGUGCGUAACGCGUGGGAACCUGCCCUUAGGUUCGGAAUAACUCCCCGAAAGGGGUGCUAAUACCGGAUAAUGUCUUCGGACCAAAGAUUUAUCGCCUUUGGAUGGGCCCGCGUUGCUUUAGCUGGUUGGUAGGGUAAAAGCCUACCAAGGCGACGAUCCAUAGCUGGGAUGAGAGGAUGAUCAGCCACACUGGGACUGAGACACGGCGCAGACUCUUACGGGAGGGAGCAGUGGGGAAUAUUGGAAUACGGGCGGAGGCAUGAACGAGCUAUGCCGCGUGAGUGAUGAAGGCCUUAGGGUUGUAAAGCUCUUUUACCCGGGAUGAUAAUGACGGUACCGGGAGAAUAAGCACCGGCUAACUCCGUG
Molecule: ribosomal RNA, 433 nt
Filed under: uncultured bacterium
Lineage: Bacteria
Description: partial 16S ribosomal RNA
Rfam family: Bacterial small subunit ribosomal RNA
Source: RNAcentral